RNAcentral lists this ribosomal RNA (233 nucleotides) under uncultured bacterium. RNAcentral describes it as "partial 16S ribosomal RNA". It matches the Rfam family "Bacterial small subunit ribosomal RNA", at positions 1267 to 1500 of the family's 1533-position model. The record is from RNAcentral.
GCGGAUCUCGAAAGCCUGUCCCAGUUCGGACUGGAGUCUGCAACCCGACUACAUGAAGCUGGAAUCGCUAGUAAUCGCGGAUCAGAAUGCCGCGGUGAAUACGUUCCCGGGUCUUGUACACACCGCCCGUCACACCAUGGGAGUCGGAAAUGCCCGAAGUCUGUGACCCAACCUACGGGAGGGAGCAGCCGAAGGCAGGUCGGAUGACUGGGGUGAAGUCGUAACAAGGUAUC